This 26-nucleotide non-coding RNA is filed under the name Rattus norvegicus (Norway rat). The record is from RNAcentral. Lineage: Eukaryota; Metazoa; Chordata; Mammalia; Rodentia; Muridae.
UGCAGACAUCGAAACUAAGAGCAGGA